Molecule: ribosomal RNA, 144 nt
Filed under: Rhodopseudomonas faecalis
Lineage: Bacteria; Pseudomonadati; Pseudomonadota; Alphaproteobacteria; Hyphomicrobiales; Nitrobacteraceae
Source: RNAcentral
CCUGGUGGUUCUAGCGAGGAGCCCCAACCCGAUCCCAUUCCGAACUCGGCCGUUAAAUUCCUCAGCGCCAAUGGUACUCCGUCUCAAGACGCGGGAGAGUAGGUCGCUGCCAGGCCUGCAAAGGACAAAUUCCCCUCUUCACAA